CGCGAAUGGCUCAUUACAACAGCUAUAAUUUACUUGAAUUUGACAACCCUACUUGGAUACCGGUGGUAAUUCUAGCGCUAAUACAUGCACCAAAGCUCCGACCGCGAGGGAAGAGCGCAUUUAUUAGAACAAAACCACACGGCUUCGGCCGUCCAAUGUUGACUCAGAAUAACUAAGCUGAUCGCAUGGUCUUGCACCGGCGACGUUUCUUUCAAGUAUCUGCCUUAUCAACUUUCGAUGGUAGUGUAUCUGACCACCAUGGUGAUGACGGGUAACGGAGGAUAAGGGUUCGACUCCGGAGAAGGGGCCUGAGAAAUGGCCACUACGUCUAAGGAUGGCAGCAGGCGCGCAAAUUACCCACUCUCAGUACGAGGAGGUAGUGACGAGAAAUAACAAGACCGUUCUCACAAGAGGCCGGUCAUUGGAAUGGGUACAAUUUAAACCCUUUAACGAGUAUCUAUGAGAGGGCAAGUCUGGUGCCAGCAGCCGCGGUAAUUCCAGCU
Molecule: ribosomal RNA, 503 nt
Filed under: Tylenchorhynchus teeni
Lineage: Eukaryota; Metazoa; Nematoda; Chromadorea; Rhabditida; Telotylenchidae
Description: SSU rRNA
Rfam family: Eukaryotic small subunit ribosomal RNA
Source: RNAcentral